Molecule: ribosomal RNA, 374 nt
Filed under: uncultured bacterium
Lineage: Bacteria
Description: partial 16S ribosomal RNA
Rfam family: Bacterial small subunit ribosomal RNA
Source: RNAcentral
CCUACGGGUGGCAGCAGUGGGGAAUAUUGCACAAUGGGGGAAACCCUGAUGCAGCGACGCCGCGUGAGUGAAGACGUACUUCUGUAUUUUAAGCCCUAUCAGCAGGGAAGAAAAUGACGGUACCUGUCUAAGAAGCCCCGGCUAACUACGUGCCAGCAUCCGCGGUAAUACGUAGGGGGCAAGCGUUAUCCGGAUUUACUGGGUGUAAAGGGAGCGUAGACGGCCAGACAAGUCAGAAGUGAAAGCCCAGGGCUCAACCCUGGGACUGCUUUUGAAACUGGCGGGCUGGAGUGCAGGAGAGGUAGGCGGAAUGCGUGGUGUAGCGGUGAAAUGCGUAGAUAUUAGGAGGAACACCAGUGGCGAAGGCGGCUUAC